GAUGAACGCUGGCGGUAGGCCUAACACAUGCAAGUCGAACGGCAGCACAGUAAGAGCUUGCUCUUACGGGUGGGGAGUGGCGGACGGGUGAGGUAUACAUCGGAAUCUACUUUUUCGGGUGGGAUAAGGUAGGGGAACCUACGAUAAUACCGCAUACGACCUACGGGGGAAAGGAGGGGAUAGUCGGCCCUGGCGGGCUUGAAUGAGCCGAUGACGGGUUAGCUAGUUGGCGGGCUAGAGGCCCACCAAGGGGACGGUCCGUAGCUGGUCUGAGAGGAUGAUCAGCCACACUGGAACUGAGACACGGUCCAGACUCCUACGGGAGGCAGCAGUGGGAAUAUUGGACAAUGGGCGCAAGCCUGAUCCAGCCAUACCGCGUGGGUGAAGAAGGCCUUCGGGUUGUAAAGCCCUUUUGUUGGGAAAGAAAAGCAGCAGGUUAAUACCCCGCUGUUCUGACGGUACCCAAAGAAUAAGCACCGGCUAACUUCGU
Molecule: ribosomal RNA, 490 nt
Filed under: uncultured bacterium
Lineage: Bacteria
Description: partial 16S ribosomal RNA
Rfam family: Bacterial small subunit ribosomal RNA
Source: RNAcentral